AUGGCCCCCCGGCCUCGCUUAUCCACAAGCGGCCGCAGAGGGGCGGCUCCGCUGAGCCGCCGCCAGGGGGCGUACCGGCGAGGGGCUGCGUCCACCUUGCCGCCGAGUGCCUCCUCCCCUUCGGCCGCCCCGAUUCCCUCUUCAUCCUCCAGCUCCAGCCCAACCCCGACACCCCGGACGUCAAGCGGGCCUUCCGUCGCCUCGCCAACCUCCUGGCCCCUCAGCGCCAUCCCCAUCCCCGGCUGA
RNAcentral lists this ribosomal RNA (246 nucleotides) under Triticum aestivum (bread wheat). Its description in RNAcentral is "partial small subunit ribosomal RNA". Lineage: Eukaryota; Viridiplantae; Streptophyta; Magnoliopsida; Poales; Poaceae. The record is from RNAcentral.